RNAcentral lists this ribosomal RNA (545 nucleotides) under Lipomyces chichibuensis. RNAcentral describes it as "partial large subunit ribosomal RNA". It matches the Rfam family "Eukaryotic large subunit ribosomal RNA", at positions 62 to 626 of the family's 3401-position model. Lineage: Eukaryota; Fungi; Ascomycota; Lipomycetes; Lipomycetales; Lipomycetaceae. The record is from RNAcentral.
AAACCAACAGGGAUUGCCUUAGUAACUGCGAGUGAAGCGGCAAGAGCUCAAAUUUGAAAUCUGGCACCUUCGGUGUCCGAGUUGUAAUUUGUAGAAGCAACUUUUUGAAUUGGUCCUUGCAUAUGUUCCUUGGAACAGGACAUCAUAGAGGGUGAGAAUCCCGUUCAUGGUGGGGAUCCGGUUCUUUGUAAAGUGCUUUCGAAGAGUCGAGUUGUUUGGGAAUGCAGCUCUAAGUGGGUGGUAAAUUCCAUCUAAAGCUAAAUAUUGGCGAGAGACCGAUAGCGAACAAGUACAGUGAUGGAAAGAUGAAAAGAACUCCGAAAGGAGAGUGAAAAAGGACGUGAAAUUGUUGAAAGGGAAGUGCUUGAGAUCAGUCUUAAAUUUUAGUGAUCAGUCUUCCUUUUGGUUGGUGCACUCACUAUUCUUUAGGCCAACAUCAGUUUUGGCGGCAGGAUAAUGACAUUGGAAUGUGGCUCUUUCGAGAGUGUUAUAGCCUUUGUUGAUACUGCCUGCUUAGACUGAGGACUGCGCUUUUGCUAGGAUGU